GCAAACUUGGUCAUUUAGAGGAAGUAAAAGUCGUAACAAGGUUUCCGUAGGUGAACCUGCGGAAGGAUCAUUAAUGAGAGACGGGUCUUCCGGCCCAACCUCCCAAACCCUCUGUUUACACAUCCACAGUUGCUUUGGUGCUGGGGUCCGCCGGCCUGCCGGAGCUCGGACCCUGCCGCCAGAGACCUUUUGAAAUAACCUUUGACAAAAGUAUUUCUGAUCUAAGAUUAAAUUUCUAAAAACUUUCAACAACGGAUCUCUUGGUUUUGGCAUCGAUGAAGAACGCAGC
RNAcentral lists this unclassified non-coding RNA (289 nucleotides) under uncultured fungus. Its description in RNAcentral is "partial contains small subunit ribosomal RNA, internal transcribed spacer 1, and 5.8S ribosomal RNA". The stretch from base 1 to 73 matches the Rfam family "Eukaryotic small subunit ribosomal RNA", at positions 1759 to 1831 of the family's 1831-position model. The record is from RNAcentral. Lineage: Eukaryota; Fungi.